GGAUCAUUACCGAGUGAGGGCCCUCUGGGUCCAACCUCCCACCCGUGUCUAUCGUACCUUGUUGCUUCGGCGGGCCCGCCGUUUCGACGGCCGCCGGGGAGGCCCUGCGCCCCCGGGCCCGCGCCCGCCGAAGACCCCAACAUGAACGCUGUUCUGAAAGAUGCAGUCUGAGUUGAUUAUCGUAAUCAGUUAAAACUUUCAACAACGGAUCUCUUGGUUCCGGCAUCGAUGAAGAACGCAGCGAAAUGCGAUAAGUAAUGUGAAUUGCAGAAUUCAGUGAAUCAUCGAGUCUUUGAACGCACAUUGCGCCCCCUGGUAUUCCGGGGGGCAUGCCUGUCCGAGCGUCAUUGCUGCCCUCAAGCACGGCUUGUGUGUUGGGCCCCCGUCCCCCUCUCCCGGGGGACGGGCCCGAAAGGCAGCGGCGGCACCGCGUCCGGUCCUCGAGCGUAUGGGGCUUUGUCACCGCUCUGUAGGCCCGGCCGGCGCCAGCCGACACCCAACUUUAUUUUUCUAAGGUUGACCUCGGAUCAGGUAGGGAUACCCGCUGAACUUAAGCA
RNAcentral lists this ribosomal RNA (557 nucleotides) under Aspergillus fumigatus. RNAcentral's name for it is "partial 18S ribosomal RNA". The stretch from base 194 to 347 matches the Rfam family "5.8S ribosomal RNA". The record is from RNAcentral. Lineage: Eukaryota; Fungi; Ascomycota; Eurotiomycetes; Eurotiales; Aspergillaceae.